CCUACGGGUGGCAGCAGUGGGGAAUAUUGGACAAUGGGCGAAAGCCUGAUCCAGCCAUGCCGCGUGUGUGAAGAAGGCCUUCGGGUUGUAAAGCACUUUCAGUGGGGAAGAAAGCCUUGGGGCUAAUACCCUCGAGGAAGGACAUCACCCACAGAAGAAGCACCGGCUAACUCCGUGCCAGCAGCCGCGGUAAUACGGAGGGUGCGAGCGUUAAUCGGAAUUACUGGGCGUAAAGCGCGCGUAGGCGGUCUGAUAAGCCGGUUGUGAAAGCCCCGGGCUCAACCUGGGAACGGCAUCCGGAACGGUCAGGCUAGAGUGCAGGAGAGGAAGGUAGAAUUCCCGGUGUAGCGGUGAAAUGCGUAGAGAUCGGGAGGAAUACCAGUGGCGAAGGCGGCCUUCUGGACUGACACUGACGCUGAGGUGCGAAAGCGUGGGUAGCAAACAGGAUUAGAUACCCUUGUAGUC
This 465-nucleotide ribosomal RNA is filed under the name Vreelandella stevensii. RNAcentral describes it as "partial 16S ribosomal RNA". It matches the Rfam family "Bacterial small subunit ribosomal RNA", at positions 338 to 795 of the family's 1533-position model. Lineage: Bacteria; Pseudomonadati; Pseudomonadota; Gammaproteobacteria; Oceanospirillales; Halomonadaceae. The record is from RNAcentral.